AUUGAACGCUGGCGGCAUGCCUUACACAUGCAAGUCGAACGGCAGCACGGGGGCGAACCCUCGGUGGCGAGUGGCGAACGGGUGAGUAAUGCAUCGGAACGUGCCCAGUAGUGGGGGAGUAACUAGUCGAAAGAUUAGCUAAUACCGCAUACGACCUACGGGUGAAAGCGGGGGAGUUCGCAAGAACCUCGCGCUAUCGGAGCGGCCGAUGUCUGAUUAGCUAGUUGGCGGGGAAAAGCCCACCAAGGCUUCGAUCAGUAGCUGGUCUGAGAGGACGACCAGCCACACUGGGACUGAGACACGGCCCAGACUCCUACGGGAGGCAGCAGUGGGGAAUUUUGGACAAUGGGCGCAAGCCUGAUCCAGCCAUGCCGCGUG
RNAcentral lists this ribosomal RNA (378 nucleotides) under uncultured bacterium. Its description in RNAcentral is "bacterial SSU rRNA". It matches the Rfam family "Bacterial small subunit ribosomal RNA", at positions 29 to 403 of the family's 1533-position model. The record is from RNAcentral.